This 425-nucleotide ribosomal RNA is filed under the name Reticulitermes hageni (light southeastern subterranean termite). RNAcentral's name for it is "partial 16S ribosomal RNA". It matches the Rfam family "Bacterial large subunit ribosomal RNA", at positions 1797 to 2485 of the family's 2925-position model. The record is from RNAcentral. Lineage: Eukaryota; Metazoa; Arthropoda; Insecta; Blattodea; Rhinotermitidae.
CGCCUGUUUAUCAAAAACAUCUUUUCUCGUUAGUUUUUGAAGUAUGGCCUGCCCGCUGACUUUGAUGUUGAAGGGCCGCGGUAUUUUGACCGUGCAAAGGUAGCAUAGUCAUUAGUUCUUUAAUUGUGAUCUGGUAUGAAUGGCUUGACGAGGCAUGGGCUGUCUUAAUUUUGAAUUGUUUAUUGAAUUUGGUCUUUGAGUUAAAAUUCUUAGAUGUUUUUAUGGGACGAGAAGACCCUAUAGAGUUUGACAUUUAUAUGGUCUCUUUUCGUUUGUGAGGGUUCACUGGGCCAUUUAGUAUGUUUUGUUGGGGUGAUGGGAGGGAUAUUAUUUAACCCCUCCUUUGUGUUGUUAUAUUUAUUUAUGUUUGUUUGAUCCAUUUAUUUUGAUUGUAAGAUUAAAUUACCUUAGGGAUAACAGCGUAA